GGAGAGGUGGCUGAGUGGUCGAAGGCACUGGUUUCGAAAACCAGCAUGUGGGAAACUGCAUCGAGGGUUCGAAUCCCUCCCUCUCCGCAA
This 90-nucleotide transfer RNA is filed under the name Candidatus Andersenbacteria bacterium RIFCSPHIGHO2_12_FULL_45_11. RNAcentral's name for it is "tRNA-Ser". It matches the Rfam family "tRNA". From Rfam's summary of the family: Transfer RNA (tRNA) molecules are approximately 80 nucleotides in length. Their secondary structure includes four short double-helical elements and three loops (D, anti-codon, and T loops). The record is from RNAcentral. Lineage: Bacteria; Candidatus Anderseniibacteriota.